UUCUACCUGCUUACAAUACCAUGUGUAGCGUAUCAGUUGUUGAGUUAAUUUCAUUUGUGCAAAAAUUAAUUUUCAUUGCAUUCCCUUUGCUGAAUUUAUGUUGACAACCUUUGUUUUUUCUUUCUGCCACCUCCUUAAUUAAAAACUAUCAAUUCACACAUUAGGGGAGCACCAAUCAAAUAAAUAUUAUUUGUAGUCCUCUGACAGCAGCUUGUUCAAAUGCCGGAACCAAUCCUAACACCAUGCCUGGUAACACAGCAAGCCCUGCUGCUACAGAAGCUUCAGUUGGGGUGCAAUCCCAACAACAAUCCCGACAAGAUUGUGCUCCUACAAGUUUAUCAAAACCUCGGUGUUACAAUGAUG
This is a long non-coding RNA of Diospyros lotus (date-plum), 363 nucleotides long. RefSeq lists it as uncharacterized. The record is from RefSeq and is a predicted model, not a curated record. The transcript has 3 exons. Lineage: Eukaryota; Viridiplantae; Streptophyta; Magnoliopsida; Ericales; Ebenaceae.